This 468-nucleotide ribosomal RNA is filed under the name uncultured bacterium. Its description in RNAcentral is "partial 16S ribosomal RNA". It matches the Rfam family "Bacterial small subunit ribosomal RNA", at positions 28 to 507 of the family's 1533-position model. The record is from RNAcentral.
GACGAACGCUGGCGGCGUGCUUAACACAUGCAAGUCGAACGGAAAGGCCCUGCUUUUGUGGGGUGCUCGAGUGGCGAACGGGUGAGUAACACGUGAGUAACCUUCCCUUGACUUUGGGAUAACUUCAGGAAACUGGGGCUAAUACCGGAUAGGAGCUCCUGCUGCAUGGUGGGGGUUGGAAAGUUUCGGCGGUUGGGGAUGGACUCGCGGCUUAUCAGCUUGUUGGUGGGGUAGUGGCUUACCAAGGCUUUGACGGGUAGCCGGCCUGAGAGGGUGACCGGCCACAUUGGGACUGAGAGACGGCCCAGACUCCUACGGGAGGCAGCAGUGGGGAAGAGUGCACAAUGGGCGGAAGCCUGAUGCAGCAACGCCGCGUGCGGGAUGACGGACUUCGGGUUGUAAACCGCUUUCGCCUGUGACGAAGCGUGAGUGAAGGUAAUGGGUAAAGAAGCACCGGAUAACUACGUG